UACGUAGGGGGCAAGCGUUGUCCGGAUUUAUUGGGCGUAAAGAGCGUGUAGGCGGCCAUACAGGUCAGCUGUGAAAACUCGAGGCUCAACCUCGAGACGUCGGUUGAAACCGUAUGGCUAGAGUGCGGAAGAGGAGAGUGGAAUUCCCGGUGUAGCGGUGAAAUGCGCAGAUAUCGGGAAGAACACCCGUGGCGAAGGCGGCUCUCUGGGACGGUACUGACGCUGAGACGCGAAAGCGUGGGGAGCGAACAGG
RNAcentral lists this ribosomal RNA (253 nucleotides) under uncultured bacterium. RNAcentral's name for it is "partial 16S ribosomal RNA". It matches the Rfam family "Bacterial small subunit ribosomal RNA", at positions 524 to 776 of the family's 1533-position model. The record is from RNAcentral.